This is a long non-coding RNA of Conger conger (European conger), 216 nucleotides long. RefSeq lists it as uncharacterized. NCBI's taxonomy places the organism in Eukaryota, Metazoa, Chordata, Actinopteri, Anguilliformes, Congridae. The transcript has 2 exons. The record is from RefSeq and is a predicted model, not a curated record.
UGUACCUGCUCCUGUAGAGUGACUCACCUGCCCCUAUAGAGUAGGUGAGCUGGAUACCUGCUCUGCAGGUUAAUGUACAGUAGUGUGUGUGUCUCUGUAGGGUAACUCUGCAGGUUAAUGUACAGUAGUGUGUGUGUCUCUGUAGGGCAGGGGUCACCAACACGGUGCCCGGGGGCACCAGGUCGCCCCCAAGGACCACAUGAGUCGCCCGCAGGC